RNA transcript from Asparagus officinalis (garden asparagus), 1606 nucleotides. It is a transcript of the gene named 3-isopropylmalate dehydratase large subunit, chloroplastic-like, with no coding region annotated. The record is from RefSeq and is a predicted model, not a curated record. The transcript is spliced from 7 exons. NCBI's taxonomy places the organism in Eukaryota, Viridiplantae, Streptophyta, Magnoliopsida, Asparagales, Asparagaceae.
CUUGGCACCGAUUCACACACCCGCAAUGCUGGAGCAUUUGAUCAGUUUGCUACCAGUAUUGGUAAUACUGAUGUAGGUUUUGUCAUGGGCACUGGAAAACUUCUGUUCAAGGUUUAAAAAAAAAAGUUCGUUGUGCACUUCUUUGUUGGCUUCUGUCAGUUGAUUUUUUGUGUUGACUGCAGUGUCAAGAAACAAAGUAAUCGUCAUUACCAUGAAGCCUUUCUGACAUUAACAUUGGGUUCGCCAUGGAGCAUGAAACUUCUUUAAAAAAGAAGAAGAAAUUUUAAUGAUGUCAACUUGACAUUAACGCUCUGUUACCUAAUCCCUAGCCAAGAAAAUCAUAGAAAAUAGAUAUUAUCUUAAUCCUUGAACACCAGUUAUUCUUACAGACGGAAAAGCUUGAAAGAGAUAAUUGCUAUGAAGUAUUGGAUUCAAUGUAGAGGCACUUGUUAAACAAAGUGCCACAAAGAACAAUUUACCACAAAGUAGAGAAGAUAUAAUUUUAUUAAAUUAGCAAUCUAACUAUUCAGAAGGCCAUUGCACAGUUGGAUGGGGACAUGCCUGACUAUUUGCUAGCCAAGGAUUUGAUUUUGCAGUGUAUGAACCUACCCUGUUUCGUGGUAGAUUAUUAGUGAAAUGACUGUUUCUGGCGCUACAUACAGUGUAUGAACCUGCCUUGUUUCAUUAGUUCUACUGUUGAAAGUUUUAAGUGUAAGUCGAUUAUAAUGUAAUUUCACAUCUAGGAUUCUAUUGAAGUCAAGUAGCAUAUUCAUUUAUGCUUGAUCUGAUGGAAGAGCGAAUGACUUUGUGUAACAUGGUUAUUGAAGCGGGAGGUAGAAAUGGAGUUGUUCCUACAGAGGCAACUACGUUCAAGUACCUAGAGAUUAGCCAUGUCGCUGAAGAGGUCGCGUGUCUUGAGGGGUCGCUCAACUACUUAGUCACCUGAGCCAGAGCCUUUUGCUUGCACAGAUUUUUUUCAUGAUCCCAAAUUUGAUGUCUCCAAGUUGGAACCAUUGGUUGCAAAGCCACAUUCUCCUGAUAAUCAUGCUUUAGCAAGAGAGCGCAAAGAUGUGAAAAUUGUUAGAAUAUAUAUAGCCUCGUGCACUGGUGGAAAGACUGAGGAUUUUCUUGCUGCCAUAAAGGUUUUUCUAGCCUUGGGGAAAAGGUGGAAGUUCCGACAUUUCUUGUGCCUGCCGCCCAAAAGGUUUGGAUGGAUUUCUAUGCCCUCCCAGUCCCAGGUUCUGCGGGCAAGACCUGCUCUCAGAAUUUCGAGGAAUCUGAUUAUGAUGUUCCAGCGAGCCCUAAUUGUGGAGCUUGUUCGGGUGGUCCCCGAGACACUUAAGCCCGAAUGAACGAACCUAAGGCAAGUUAUUCUGUUAGGGUUGCAAGUCUUUGGAUUACAGUUGAAACUUAUUUUGUGGUAGUUUUUGUUAAUCUCUCCUAUCAGAGGUUAAACAAUAGUGGAAAGGGUUAAUUGCAGAUGCACCCUUAAAACUAUGAUGAUGUAACCACUUACAUCCCGUAAAUUAUUUUAUGGGUUAUUUGCUGAUGGACCCCCCCUGUACUAUCGUCUAAUUGAAAAUAGAUCCCCUGUGUAGUUCUGUUA